Molecule: ribosomal RNA, 333 nt
Filed under: uncultured Mesorhizobium sp.
Lineage: Bacteria; Pseudomonadati; Pseudomonadota; Alphaproteobacteria; Hyphomicrobiales; Phyllobacteriaceae
Description: bacterial SSU rRNA
Rfam family: Bacterial small subunit ribosomal RNA
Source: RNAcentral
UGUCGUCAGCUCGUGUCGUGAGAUGUUGGGUUAAGUCCCGCAACGAGCGCAACCCUCGCCCUUAGUUGCCAUCAUUCAGUUGGGCACUCUAAGGGGACGUGCCGGUGAUAAGCCGAGAGGAAGGUGGGGGAUGACGUCAAGUCCUCAUGGCCCUUACGGGCUGGGCUACACACGUGCUACAAUGGUGGUGACAGUGGGCAGCGAGACCGCGAGGUCGAGCUAAUCUCCAAAAGCCAUCUCAGUUCGGAUUGCACUCUGCAACUCGAGUGCAUGAAGUUGGAAUCGCUAGUAAUCGCGGAUCAGCAUGCCGCGGUGAAUACGUUCCCGGGCCUU